GCUCAGAUUGAACGCUGGCGGCAGGCCUAACACAUGCAAGUCGAGCGGAUGACGGGAGCUUGCUCCUUGAUUCAGCGGCGGACGGGUGAGUAAUGCCUAGGAAUCUGCCUGGUAGUGGGGGACAACGUUUCGAAAGGAACGCUAAUACCGCAUACGUCCUACGGGAGAAAGCAGGGGACCUUCGGGCCUUGCGCUAUCAGAUGAGCCUAGGUCGGAUUAGCUAGUUGGUGGGGUAAUGGCUCACCAAGGCGACGAUCCGUAACUGGUCUGAGAGGAUGAUCAGUCACACUGGAACUGAGACACGGUCCAGACUCCUACGGGAGGCAGCAGUGGGGAAUAUUGGACAAUGGGCGAAAGCCUGAUCCAGCCAUGCCGCGUGUGUGAAGAAGGUCUUCGGAUUGUAAAGCACUUUAAGUUGGGAGGAAGGGCAUUAACCUAAUACGUUA
This 446-nucleotide ribosomal RNA is filed under the name Pseudomonas sp. RNAcentral describes it as "bacterial SSU rRNA". It matches the Rfam family "Bacterial small subunit ribosomal RNA", at positions 22 to 470 of the family's 1533-position model. Lineage: Bacteria; Pseudomonadati; Pseudomonadota; Gammaproteobacteria; Pseudomonadales; Pseudomonadaceae. The record is from RNAcentral.